Long non-coding RNA from Podarcis muralis (Common wall lizard), 2787 nucleotides. NCBI's taxonomy places the organism in Eukaryota, Metazoa, Chordata, Lepidosauria, Squamata, Lacertidae. The record is from Ensembl.
AAAGAGACAAGAAAUCCCAAGGAAUGCUCAGCGAAGGCCGCCUAUAAUCUCCACGUCAGCUUUGGGGAGCAGAUCAGGAUGGCUGCACCAUCAAGAGAGACUGGGCGACGCUUAAGGCAUGUAUUGCAGGAGGGACCUGAGGCAACCCGAUAUCCGGACUCUUUCUCACUCUUUGGCAGCCAUCCGGGCUUGGGAGUGUUUUGUGCCGGGGACCAAUUUCCCAUUGACUGCAUUCCCCCACCCCCCACCGGAUUCCCAGUUGGGCAGGAGGGGGGAUUUCUGCAUGGCAUCUCUCUCCCUCAUCUGCCGCACUCGGCUCCCUGUUUCAUACGCUGGGGAAAAGGCGCGAUGGCUUCUCCUCGUCGUCGCGCCCAGUUUUUCCUUGACAGGCGCUCUCGCCGCUACUCAAAGCCAGAAUGGCGGCGGCUGCUUCUUUGGUCUGCUCAGCUGUUGUCCCAUAAUUCAUUCCCCCCAAACACAAUAUGCUGCUUGUGUGCUACUUUUGUCUGAAAGAUUUAAUAAAUACAGGGUUUUUUUGGGGGGGGGCGUUCCUUUGGGAUUGCUUGUUUCAAGCACGCACACACAACACCGCCCCAGACUCGAGCCCCUGGAACUUGCCAAGUGGUUUCAGGCACCUCUAAAUAUCUUCUCGCCACCCGAAUCAAUCCAUCUGCUGAGCAGCCGCGGCCUCUGCCUGGCACGGGAGCGUGGAGCGCCCGCCCCGUCGCAGUUGCUCUUCUUUGGCCCGACACCUUUGUUUAUUAGGAAGGAAACGCGGCCCUUGCCCAAUUAAUGCAUCCUCCAGUCGCCCAUAAUAUGCCUGCCCCGCCCCCGCCCCCGAUAACCGAGAGGGGAUGUUUGCAUUUAAGAAGAUGGCAACGAGAAAACUGAGGCUCGGUUUCCUACACUUUCAAUUCCAAAUCAAUUCUCGCCCAAUCCUGGAGAAUUAACACUCUGUUAAUGUUGCAAUGUCACAAUCUGUCUCAGGAUGUCACCUUCUUUCACCUUGUAAAAGAAAGCUCACAUUCUGGCUGCAUUUUGGAUGAAAUUAUCUAAACCGAGUUGUGUUAAUCCAGGAUAAUAAUAGUAAUAAUAAUAUCAUCAUCCAAUGUGUUGUUUGGGGAUUGUAUGACAGGAAAACAAUGCGGGUUUAUGUUCCCUUAAUUAUAGAAAAUUCAGUGUGUUAGAAAGAUGGGCAUGACUUAAUUUAUUCUGGUCUGGGGAAAUUUUCAGCUGUUAAAAUGAGCAGCUUACACCCAAAAUCAGUUUUCUGCAGCAAAAUAUUCCAGUUGUUGGAACAAGAAGCAAAAUUAAGGGAUAGCAAUGUGCACUCCUUUGAUAUAUAUAUAUAUAUUUGGGGGGGGGCGUGUCCAAGCAGUGUGCAAACACAGAAAGGAUGUGGUUAACGGAAUACAGUAUAUGAAUUCAGAACAAAGCUUUGUUAUGUUAUUGUUGUCUCAAGGCUACUUACAGUAAAAUGGAAACAAAACCCUUUUUUUUAAAGCGCAGUAAACAACAAAGCACUAAAACGGGGUCAUACACCACUUCUCAAGAUAAUAAGAAAAAGCCUACCACCCUCUAACAAUAUCAGCAUGAUUGCCACUAUAAGUUAACCAGCAGUAGUAACCUCCAAACAGCAGAGAAAAUUAACAAUCAAAUGCCUAGGGGGAAAGGAAAGCCUUUGCCUGUCACUGUUAUUGUAGAUAUCAGGUGACUCUGUUUUGGGAGAGCGUUCCUUAAAGAGGGACCACCAUCGAAAAGGCUGUCUCUUAGGCCAGUGUUUCCCAACCUUUUUUGGGCAAAGGCACACUUGUUUCAUGAAAAAAAUCUUGAGGCACACCACCAUUACAGCCCCGUGAUGUCAGCGCGCAGCGUCACGCCGGGAGGGACGCACGAAAGUGUAAGUUUCAAUUUUUUCCCCUCCCCCUUGCCUUCCUUCUGUGCCAACCGCCAAAAAGCCAAGAAAAAAGCCAAGACUUUAGGGCAGCAGGUCGACACGGAAGAAGCUCCUACCUAAGGACAGGUGCGACGGCCGUGUCCUCUUCUGCCACACUUGGCAGCCCUGCCUCACGGUCGUGACUCCCACCCUGAUUUCUCGCCGCAGGUCGAGCGGCACAGGCAGCCCAAUGUGUCCAGCCCAGACACAAGCCCCGCUUCCCCACUCUAGAUCCUGAAUGCGACCAAGUGCUCUGGACUCCCGAGCAGGGUGGGAAAGAGGACUCGCAUCUGGUAGCCUCCAGGCUCCUCGCCUGCUCGAGGGAUGGCAUUGCAGGCAAGCUGCCGGCCGUCGCCAUCGCCGCCCCCUCAUGCGAGUGGACCUGCCCGGAGUGGUGGGCCGGGGGAGGCUCGCUCUCUGUGGGGAUGUGGCCCACAUGCGUGGCCCCGCUUCCUCCUGCCCAGGGCUGAGCUCCUUACCCGCGAUCUCGGUCUCGCGCACACGGAUCCCACUUAUUCUGAAGCUCGCACCACCAGCCCCGUCUUGCGAUGCACGGUUUCCCAUAGGAAUGCAUUGAAAAUCAAUUAAUGCGUUCCUAGGGAAACCGCCUUCAGACCAGGUCCGGGGACAGUCUGUCCCCCGACCACUUCUGAAGGCUGGGGGGGGGGACAAGGGCUUUUCUUCCCACCCCCAGCAUUUUAAAAAACCCCGGGACAGCGGAGAACUUCUCCGCUGUCCGGGGCAAUCUUAAAAUGCUGGCGGGCGGCAUUUUAAAAUCGCCCGGGACAGCGGAGGACUUCUCCGCUGUCCGGGGCGAUUUAAAAGCCCCUGGGAAGGCAGGCAGGGGGGAC